Molecule: ribosomal RNA, 339 nt
Filed under: uncultured soil bacterium
Lineage: Bacteria
Description: bacterial SSU rRNA
Rfam family: Bacterial small subunit ribosomal RNA
Source: RNAcentral
AGAGCGAACGCUGGCGGCAGGCCUAACACAUGCAAGUCGAACGGACUCUUCGGAGUUAGUGGCGGACGGGUGAGUAACACGUGGGAACGUGCCUUUAGGUUCGGAAUAGCUCCUGGAAACGGGUGGUAAUGCCGAAUGUGCCCUUCGGGGGAAAGAUUUAUCGCCUUUAGAGCGGCCCGCGUCUGAUUAGCUAGUUGGUGAGGUAAAGGCUCACCAAGGCUACGAUCAGUAGCUGGUCUGAGAGGAUGACCAGCCACAUUGGGACUGAGACACGGCCCAAACUCCUACGGGAGGCAGCAGUGGGGAAUCUUGCGCAAGUGGGACGAAAAGCCUAGACGC